Molecule: ribosomal RNA, 253 nt
Filed under: uncultured bacterium
Lineage: Bacteria
Description: partial 16S ribosomal RNA
Rfam family: Bacterial small subunit ribosomal RNA
Source: RNAcentral
UACGUAGGGUGCGAGCGUUAAUCGGAAUUACUGGGCGUAAAGCGUGCGCAGGUGGUUGUGUAAGUCAGAUGUGAAAUCCCCGGGCUCAACCUGGGAACUGCAUUUGAGACUGCACGGCUAGAGGAUGGCAGAGGGGGGUAGAAUUCCACGUGUAGCAGUGAAAUGCGUAGAGAUGUGGAGGAAUACCGAUGGCGAAGGCAGUCCCCUGGGCUAUUACUGACACUCAUGCACGAAAGCGUGGGGAGCAAACAGG